Molecule: ribosomal RNA, 1142 nt
Filed under: uncultured organism
Description: bacterial SSU rRNA
Rfam family: Bacterial small subunit ribosomal RNA
Source: RNAcentral
GGCAGAGACGGGUAUGGGGCGUGAGAGCGCGGACCCCCACACUGGCACUGAGAUACGGGCCAGACUCCUACGGGAGGCAGCAGUAAGGGAUAUUGCGCAAUGGACGAAAGUCAGACGCAGCGACGCCGCGUGGGCGAUGAAGGCCUUCGGGUUGUAAAGCCCUUUUAUGGGGGAAGAGAAAAAGGACGGUACCCCAGGAAUAAGUCCCGGCUAACUACGUGCCAGCAGCCGCGGUAAAACGUAGGGGACAAGCGUUAUCCGGAUUCACUGGGCGUAAAGAGCGUUGAGGCGGUUCCGUAAGUUGGGCGUGAAAGCUCCGGGCUUAACUCGGAGAUGUCGUUCAAUGCUGCGGGGCUUGAGGACAGCAGAGGAAGGUGGAAUUCCCGGUGUAGUGGUGAAAUGCGUAGAUAUCGGGAGGAACACCCGUGGCGAAGGCGGCCUUCUGGGCUGUUCCUGACGCUGAAGGCGAAAGCUAGGGGAGCGAACGGGAUUAGAUACCCCGGUAGUCCUAGCUGUAAACGAUGGAUGCUGGGUGUGGGGGGUGUAAAUUCCCUCUGUGCCGAAGCAAACGCGUUAAGCAUCCCGCCUGGGGACUACGGCCGCAAGGCUAAAACUCAAACGAAUUGACGGGGGCCCGCACAAGCAGCGGAGCGUGUGGUUUAAUUCGAUGCUACACGAAGAACCUUACCUGGGUUUGACAUGCACGUGGUAGGGAACCGAAAGGGGACCGACCUUCGGGAGCGUGCACAGGUGCUGCAUGGCUGUCGUCAGCUCGUGCCGUGAGGUGUCGGGUUAAGUCCCGUAACGAGCGCAACCCUUGCCCUUAGUUACAAGUGUCUAAGGGGACUGCCCGGGACAACUGGGAGGAAGGUGGGGAUGACGUCAAGUCAGCAUGGCCUUUAUAUCCAGGGCUACACACACGCUACAAUGGCCGGUACAAUAGGUUGCGAAGUCGUGAGGCGGAGCCAAUCCUCAAAGCCGGUCUCAGUUCGAAUUGCAGUCUGCAACUCGACUGCAUGAAGCUGGAGUUGCUAGUAAUCGCAGGUCAGCUAUACUGCGCUGAUACGUUCCCGGGCAUUGUACACACCGCCCGUCACGUCAUGGAAGCUGGCAACGCCUGAAGCCGGUGAGCUAACCCGAAA